This 465-nucleotide ribosomal RNA is filed under the name uncultured bacterium. RNAcentral describes it as "partial 16S ribosomal RNA". It matches the Rfam family "Bacterial small subunit ribosomal RNA", at positions 28 to 507 of the family's 1533-position model. The record is from RNAcentral.
GACGAACGCUGGCGGCGUGCUUAACACAUGCAAGUCGAACGGAAAGGCCCCUUUGGGGGUACUCGAGUGGCGAACGGGUGAGUAACACGUGAGUAACCUGCCCUUGACUUCGGGAUAACUUCAGGAAACUGGGGCUAAUACCGGAUAGGAAUCCUUGCUGCAUGGUGGGGGUUGGAAAGCUUCGGCGGUUUUGGAUGGACUCGCGGCUUAUCAGCUUGUUGGUGGGGUAGUGGCUUACCAAGGCUUUGACGGGUAGCCGGCCUGAGAGGGCGACCGGCCACAUUGGGACUGAGAUACGGCCCAGACUCCUACGGGAGGCAGCAGUGGGGAAUAUUGCACAAGGGGCGGAAGCCUGAUGCAGCAACGCCGCGUGCGGGAUGGCGGCCUUCGGGUUGUAAACCGCUUUCAGCAGGGGCGAAGCUUGUGGUGACGGUACCUGCAGAAGAAGCACCGGCUAACUACGUG